Molecule: ribosomal RNA, 761 nt
Filed under: Priestia megaterium
Lineage: Bacteria; Bacillati; Bacillota; Bacilli; Caryophanales; Bacillaceae
Description: bacterial SSU rRNA
Rfam family: Bacterial small subunit ribosomal RNA
Source: RNAcentral
GGGGGGGGGCCUAACAUGGCAGGUCGAGCGAACUGAUUAGAAGCUUGCUUCUAUGACGUUAGCGGCGGACGGGUGAGUAACACGUGGGCAACCUGCCUGUAAGACUGGGAUAACUUCGGGAAACCGAAGCUAAUACCGGAUAGGAUCUUCUCCUUCAUGGGAGAUGAUUGAAAGAUGGUUUCGGCUAUCACUUACAGAUGGGCCCGCGGUGCAUUAGCUAGUUGGUGAGGUAACGGCUCACCAAGGCAACGAUGCAUAGCCGACCUGAGAGGGUGAUCGGCCACACUGGGACUGAGACACGGCCCAGACUCCUACGGGAGGCAGCAGUAGGGAAUCUUCCGCAAUGGACGAAAGUCUGACGGAGCAACGCCGCGUGAGUGAUGAAGGCUUUCGGGUCGUAAAACUCUGUUGUUAGGGAAGAACAAGUACGAGAGUAACUGCUCGUACCUUGACGGUACCUAACCAGAAAGCCACGGCUAACUACGUGCCAGCAGCCGCGGUAAUACGUAGGUGGCAAGCGUUAUCCGGAAUUAUUGGGCGUAAAGCGCGCGCAGGCGGUUUCUUAAGUCUGAUGUGAAAGCCCACGGCUCAACCGUGGAGGGUCAUUGGAAACUGGGGAACUUGAGUGCAGAAGAGAAAAGCGGAAUUCCACGUGUAGCGGUGAAAUGCGUAGAGAUGUGGAGGAACACCAGUGGCGAAGGCGGCUUUUUGGUCUGUAACUGACGCUGAGGCGCGAAAGCGUGGGGAGCAAACAGGAUUAG